This 442-nucleotide ribosomal RNA is filed under the name uncultured bacterium. RNAcentral's name for it is "partial 16S ribosomal RNA". It matches the Rfam family "Bacterial small subunit ribosomal RNA", at positions 338 to 795 of the family's 1533-position model. The record is from RNAcentral.
CCUACGGGAGGCAGCAGUAGGGAAUCUUUCACAAUGGGCGAAAGCCUGAUGGAGCAACGCCGCGUGCAGGAUGAAGGCCUUCGGGUUGUAAACUGCUUUUAUAAGCGAGAAAUAUGAUGGUAACUUAUGAAUAAGGAUCGGCUAACUACGUGCCAGCAGCCGCGGUCAUACGUAGGAUCCGAGCAUUAUCCGGAGUGACUGGGUGUAAAGAGUUGCGUAGGUGGCAUAAUAAGUAGCUAGUGAAAUCUGGUGGCUCAACCAUUCAGACUAUUAGCUAAACUGUUAAGCUCGAGACCGUUAGAGGUAACUGGAAUUUCUAGUGUAGGAGUGAAAUCCGUAGAUAUUAGAAGGAACACCAAUAGCAUAGGCAGGUUGCUGGGACGGUUCUGACACUAAGGCACGAAAGCGUAGGGAGCAAACGGGAUUAGAUACCCUUGUAUUC